Ictidomys tridecemlineatus (thirteen-lined ground squirrel) is the source of this 395-nucleotide long non-coding RNA. RefSeq lists it as uncharacterized. NCBI's taxonomy places the organism in Eukaryota, Metazoa, Chordata, Mammalia, Rodentia, Sciuridae. The record is from RefSeq and is a predicted model, not a curated record.
GGACCUUCUCGUGCUUGGUCUGUGGUUCUACCCAGGCCUCUAGUCUAUUCUGGAGAGGUGGCUGGGCUUGGUGUCCCUGGCAUGGCUGUCCACACUCUGCCAGCUGGUUUGGAUGCAGUUUGUCCCCUAAGGAUUCCUGUGUUGACAGCUUGGUUCCCUGUGUGCUGUGGUGAGAUGUGGUAGGACCUUGAAGAGGUUCUCUAUGCUGCUAUGACCGUCUGACCUGCCCUCCACCCCUCCUUGGUAAACUGCCUCCCCCAGAUGAUGGCAGCCCAGCUUUGACUACCUGUGGCACCUACUUGUAUGAUGCAGCUGAAGGUGAUCUUUGCUGGUACUUUGAACCAUUGUCAUUAUGUGACCAUUGUCAUUAAAACAAACCCUUUAAAAAAUCGAUC